Oryza glumipatula is the source of this 197-nucleotide non-coding RNA. Lineage: Eukaryota; Viridiplantae; Streptophyta; Magnoliopsida; Poales; Poaceae. The record is from Rfam.
AAAAAAAAAAAACCCGGAUUUCCGUGUCCAACGUUUGACUGUUCAUCUUAUAUGAUUUUUUUUAUAAUUACUAUUUUCAUUGUUGUUAGAUGAUAAAACAUGUGCGUGACUUGUUUUUUUAAUUUUUUUCAUAAUUUUUUUUAAAUAUAAGACGGACGGUCAAACGUUGAACAUGGAAAUCAAGGGUUUGUCUUUUU